This 555-nucleotide long non-coding RNA is filed under the name Gallus gallus (chicken). RNAcentral describes it as "lncRNA (ENSGALG00010007250.1)". Lineage: Eukaryota; Metazoa; Chordata; Aves; Galliformes; Phasianidae. The record is from RNAcentral.
AUUUUCUAAGAACUAUUGAUUACUGGUUAUUUUCAUUAUUUUAUGUAUUUAUUUAUUUAACUACUUGUUUAUUUAUUCCAGCAUGCAGGCAUACAUCUAUAUGUGGGUGCUUUCCUCUGGCUGAAUGCUUUUGUUGUAAAAAGGGGAUAACCCACCUUAGAGCCGGUCAGCUCAACAGCUUCUACAGCUGGAUCCUUCCACCAAGUGUUUUGCAAUCCAGAGGAGGAGUGGUGAGUCACCAGAACAGCUGUCCAGGGGGGUGGUGGAGUCACUGUCCCUGGAGGUGUUCAAGAACUGUGGAGAUGUGGCACUGAGAUAGAACUUGGAUCGUGUACAUUCAUGCAUGGUGGGUCCCAUGACCAGGCAAUGGCAUAUCGUGGUAUGGUGGAAAGAAAUCUUGUCACUGGAUUAGUAGAGAGGCUGCAACAUGUGGACCUCAGGUGCCUUCAUCAGAUGUCCUGUAUCCUGUAGCUGUGAAGCUUCUGGGAAUAACCAAUUUUGAUGAGAAUGUCUCUGGUUAUCAGGAACAAUUCUUUUUUAUUCUGUAAGGAAAAG